AAAGAUUAAGCCAUGCAUGUCUAAGUAUAAGCAAUUAUACAGCGAAACUGCGAAUGGCUCAUUAAAUCAGUUAUCGUUUAUUUGAUAUUACCUUACUACAUGGAUAACCGUGGUAAUUCUAGAGCUAAUACAUGCAAAAAAUCCCGACUUCGGAAGGGAUGUAUUUAUUAGAUUAAAAACCAAUGCCCUCCGGGGCUCACUGGUGAUUCAUAAUAACUUCUCGAAUCGCACGGCCUUGCGCCGGCGAUGGUUCAUUCAAAUUUCUGCCCUAUCAACUUUCGACGGCUGGGUCUUGGCCAGCCAUGGUGA
This 309-nucleotide ribosomal RNA is filed under the name uncultured fungus. RNAcentral's name for it is "SSU rRNA". It matches the Rfam family "Eukaryotic small subunit ribosomal RNA", at positions 39 to 352 of the family's 1831-position model. Lineage: Eukaryota; Fungi. The record is from RNAcentral.